GCUCCCAUGGACAAGUUGGCUAAGUUGGUGGCCUUUCAAGCCGCAGGCGUGAGUUCAAUCCUCACUGGGAGUGCCA
RNAcentral lists this transfer RNA (76 nucleotides) under Caudoviricetes sp. RNAcentral's name for it is "tRNA-Glu". It matches the Rfam family "tRNA". Rfam says of the family: Transfer RNA (tRNA) molecules are approximately 80 nucleotides in length. Their secondary structure includes four short double-helical elements and three loops (D, anti-codon, and T loops). Further hydrogen bonds mediate the characteristic L-shaped molecular structure. tRNAs have two regions of fundamental functional importance: the anti-codon, which is responsible for specific mRNA codon recognition, and the 3' end, to which the tRNAs corresponding amino acid is attached (by aminoacyl-tRNA synthetases). tRNAs cope with the degeneracy of the genetic code in two manners: having more than one tRNA (with a specific anti-codon) for a particular amino acid; and 'wobble' base-pairing, i.e. permitting non-standard base-pairing at the 3rd anti-codon position. The record is from RNAcentral. Lineage: Duplodnaviria; Heunggongvirae; Uroviricota; Caudoviricetes.